This 26-nucleotide unclassified non-coding RNA is filed under the name Mus musculus (house mouse). Its description in RNAcentral is "oocyte_clustered_small_RNA3880". The record is from RNAcentral. Lineage: Eukaryota; Metazoa; Chordata; Mammalia; Rodentia; Muridae.
UUGGGGGCAGCCAUUGCAACGGAGGG